UUAGCAUGGAAUAAUGGAAUAGGACGUGUGGUUCUAUUUUGUUGGUUUCUAGGACCGCCGUAAUGAUUAAUAGGGACAGUCGGGGGCAUCAGUAUUCAAUUGUCAGAGGUGAAAUUCUUGGAUUUAUUGAAGACUAACUACUGCGAAAGCAUUUGCCAAGGAUGUUUUCAUUAAUCAGGAACGAAAGUUAGGGGAUCGAAGACGAUCAGAUACCGUCGUAGUCUUAACCAUAAACUAUGCCGACUAGGGAUCGGACGAUGUUAUAAUUUGACUCGUUCGGCACCUUACGAGAAAUCAAAGUGCUUGGGCUCCAGGGGGAGUAUGGUCGCAAGGCUGAAACUUAAAGAAAUUGACGGAAGGGCACCACCAGGGGUGGAGCCUGCGGCUUAAUUUGACUCAACACGGGGAAACUCACCAGGUCCAGA
This 425-nucleotide ribosomal RNA is filed under the name uncultured Sordariomycetes. RNAcentral describes it as "SSU rRNA". It matches the Rfam family "Eukaryotic small subunit ribosomal RNA", at positions 804 to 1228 of the family's 1831-position model. Lineage: Eukaryota; Fungi; Ascomycota; Sordariomycetes. The record is from RNAcentral.